CCUACGGGAGGCUGCAGUGAGGAAUAUUGGUCAAUGAGGGCAACCUUGAACCAGCCAAGUCGCGUGAAGGAUGACUGUCCUAAGGAUUGUAAACUUCUUUUAUAUGGGAAUAAUUGUAGCCACGUGUGGUUAUUUGCAUGUACCAUAUGAAUAAGGAUCGGCUAACUCCGUGCCAGCAGCCGCGGUAAUACGGAGGAUCCAAGCGUUAUCCGGAUUUAUUGGGUUUAAAGGGUGCGCAGGCGGGAGAUUAAGUCGGUGGUGAAAUUUUGCGGCUCAACCGUAAGAGUGCCAUCGAAACUGGUUUUCUUGAGUGUAGAUGAAGUAGGCGGAAUUUGUGGUGUAGCGGUGAAAUGCAUAGAUAUCACGAGGAACUCCGAUUGCGCAGGCAGCUUACUAAACUACUACUGACGCUCAUGCACGAAGGCGUGGGGAUCAAACAGGAUUAGAUACCCUAGUAGUC
RNAcentral lists this ribosomal RNA (460 nucleotides) under uncultured Porphyromonadaceae bacterium. RNAcentral describes it as "bacterial SSU rRNA". It matches the Rfam family "Bacterial small subunit ribosomal RNA", at positions 338 to 795 of the family's 1533-position model. The record is from RNAcentral. Lineage: Bacteria; Pseudomonadati; Bacteroidota; Bacteroidia; Bacteroidales; Porphyromonadaceae.